This 1120-nucleotide ribosomal RNA is filed under the name Staphylococcus aureus. RNAcentral describes it as "bacterial SSU rRNA". It matches the Rfam family "Bacterial small subunit ribosomal RNA", at positions 57 to 1157 of the family's 1533-position model. The record is from RNAcentral. Lineage: Bacteria; Bacillati; Bacillota; Bacilli; Caryophanales; Staphylococcaceae.
GCAAGUCGAGCGAACGGACGAGAAGCUUGCUUCUCUGAUGUUAGCGGCGGACGGGUGAGUAACACGUGGAUAACCUACCUAUAAGACUGGGAUAACUUCGGGAAACCGGAGCUAAUACCGGAUAAUAUUUUGAACCGCAUGGUUCAAAAGUGAAAGACGGUCUUGCUGUCACUUAUAGAUGGAUCCGCGCUGCAUUAGCUAGUUGGUAAGGUAACGGCUUACCAAGGCAACGAUGCAUAGCCGACCUGAGAGGGUGAUCGGCCACACUGGAACUGAGACACGGUCCAGACUCCUACGGGAGGCAGCAGUAGGGAAUCUUCCGCAAUGGGCGAAAGCCUGACGGAGCAACGCCGCGUGAGUGAUGAAGGUCUUCGGAUCGUAAAACUCUGUUAUUAGGGAAGAACAUAUGUGUAAGUAACUGUGCACAUCUUGACGGUACCUAAUCAGAAAGCCACGGCUAACUACGUGCCAGCAGCCGCGGUAAUACGUAGGUGGCAAGCGUUAUCCGGAAUUAUUGGGCGUAAAGCGCGCGUAGGCGGUUUUUUAAGUCUGAUGUGAAAGCCCACGGCUCAACCGUGGAGGGUCAUUGGAAACUGGAAAACUUGAGUGCAGAAGAGGAAAGUGGAAUUCCAUGUGUAGCGGUGAAAUGCGCAGAGAUAUGGAGGAACACCAGUGGCGAAGGCGACUUUCUGGUCUGUAACUGACGCUGAUGUGCGAAAGCGUGGGGAUCAAACAGGAUUAGAUACCCUGGUAGUCCACGCCGUAAACGAUGAGUGCUAAGUGUUAAGGGGUUUCCGCCCCUUAGUGCUGCAGCUAACGCAUUAAGCACUCCGCCUGGGGAGUACGACCGCAAGGUUGAAACUCAAAGGAAUUGACGGGGACCCGCACAAGCGGUGGAGCAUGUGGUUUAAUUCGAAGCAACGCGAAGAACCUUACCAAAUCUUGACAUCCUUUGACAACUCUAGAGAUAGAGCCUUCCCCUUCGGGGGACAAAGUGACAGGUGGUGCAUGGUUGUCGUCAGCUCGUGUCGUGAGAUGUUGGGGUUAAGUCCCGCAACGAGCGCAACCCUUAAGCUUAGUUGCCAUCAUUAAGUUGGGCACUCUAAGUUGACUGCCGGUG